UUGGUCCACGUUUUUAAUUGUAAAAUAGAGGAAACUUACCCACUUCUCCUUAUUCUUCGAUACUCUCAAUCCCAUCAUCUUCAUCCCAAAGCCACCGUAACUUAACUUAAACAUAUAGGUCUGAAGAAAAAAAAAAACUAAACCUAAACUUCGAUCAAUACUUCGUCUUCUACUCUAUUGACCCAAUCCUACAAGUUCUUCUACUCCAUUGUUCCAAUCCUACAAGAGAAUCAUUCCUACCUUGUUAUCAAUUGUUCAUUUGAAACCCUAAAUCAUGUCAACCCUAAAUACCAUUAAAAUCAAAUCGAAAGAAACCCUGGAUACUAAAAUCUUAUACGGAGGGCAGAAGAGGAAAACAAAUAGGAAUAUGGGAAACAAGAGGUCGAAAUAAGUGGUGUUGGUGUUAGUUGAUUUUAUCAGAAAAAGAUGAACAUCCUAAAGAUUAGGGGAUGAGAUUUCUAGAGAGAUUACUGGUAUGUUUUUUCAUUUAAUUUAGCAAACCAUCUACUGUAUGUAUUCAUGGGUUGUUGUUAUGAUUUAUGCAAUUUGAAUGAUGUUCUUCUUUGUUGUGUUUCUUUUUUACAUUGAUAGAGCAUAGACACAAUUAGAUCGUGUUAUCAGAUUAGAGUGGUUAUAUAUAGAAUGUUCCUAGUUAAUAUUUUCUUGGACAUAGAAGUAUUGGGAAGAUAGAUAAAUUUUUUUAUAUGAUUAAUUUUUGUAUGGUUACUUGUAGAAAAUUCAUGUAAAAGUAAAACUGCAGAUUACCUAAUUGUUCGUUUGUAUCUAUCGACAUAUAUAAAUAUAAAUCAUGGUUGUUUCAGGACUUCACUUAGAUUUCUGUAGUUGGAGGUUUGUGUAGGGGUAAAACGUUUGGUUGUAUGUGUUUGGUUGUAAGUAGUUAUUCACUUUGAUUUCCCGCAUUCCCCGUGGGUGUUCAGCUUUAUCGUUUGAGCUCUUACAAUUUUGUGGAAAAGAGCACCACCAGUGGCAUGACUCAGCUAUACCUAGUAGUUUCGAAGGCAGGUAUACUAGUUGUAAUAGAGCCCUGAAUGGUGAAAUCUUUCUCAACUCAGGUGAUCCUUUUUGGUUGUGUCUCCAAGCAUGUAAUUCUAAUCAAAACAACACGUACUAACGCAACGCCUUCUCUGUAAACAUGAGCAGAGACACCGUUGGAAGUGUGGUAAUGUUUUAGAAAAACCAAGUACACUAUUUACAACCAUAACCUUUCUUAAUUGCUCUUUUAUUUGUAGAAAAUCUUUCCACAAACAUAAACUUGUGACCUUGUUGUCCAUAUCCAACCUAUGUAUGCAAUCUAUGGGCGCCGGUUUGGUCGUAGUCUAGCCAGUAAGCAUAUUUUCUUCAUAUUGAUUUUAUUUUUGCAUCAGAAAAUAUAUUGUUUCCCUUAUACCAUUCAAGUCUUAAACCGUAUCAUCCAUGUUCCCCUUGGAACUCUCUUGACUGAUGUAGUAAUCUACCCUAUCAGAAAAAUGUAUGCCUCUAAAAGUAGGUAAUGUGGUUCAUUAUUACACUCCAGACUCCAUUCAGAAGAAAGAAUCUUAAGUUCCUUUGGUACAAGUUACAUUUUUUCUUAAAUUUUGUGUUCCGAUUGAAAUUCUCAUUCUAAGUUGGUGAAUGUCCUUAUUUUGAUUGGUAAUUUUAGAUGCAGACUGCUGAACGAGCGUCGGAAAAGUCUGAGGUACGUACUCAUGGUCAAAGGAAUCAUUAUCACAUGGAAACUUCUCGAUCUACUGAUAUCCUGUUCACAAUAGCAAUACUCAUCUUUUCUAAAUUUGAAUCUUGCAAUUGUCUUUGGUAUUCAAUAUUUGAUUUAUCUGGAUUGCAGGAAUUAUUAAAGUAGUCAUUAAAGUUUGCUCUUUACAUCUGAGGUAUGUAGGGACGAAAAUGUUACCUUUAAAGCCAGAAGGCUAUAACUUAUGGACUUAAAGAGGUCAUCGAAUACAUCAUGCAGCAUAAGGAAAGAGAACUUUGGUUUUUUUAACCCAUGGUUUCGUGCUUUCAGAUUUCAUUGGAGGUGGCAGGUGAUCAGAAGCCCGGGGUGGUUGAAAAUUACAACAAAAAUGGCUGAUCUUUAUCUUUUCAUGCGAAAAUGCAAAGUGAAGAUGUCAUCUAUUCCUCCUUAAUAUCCUCAAUUCAAGGUUGAAGCGAAAAGAGAUGUCUUAUUGCAAUCUCUUAGAGUUCUGGAGAGACAGGUUGAUCUUGUUUCAGUAAAUAUUAACACCUGGAGUUUUUCUACUUCUAGUAUCAUAUGUCAGUCGGCUUUUUGGUUUUGUUUUGCUUUGGUAUGUUUCAAUAUAAAAAAUCGACGAUAAUAUUAUUUGAGUUAGCUAGCUUAUCUGUAAUUGAAUCUUCGGGAUGUAUUUGAUUUUUAUUAACGAAUGAAUAAAAGAUUUCAAUAUUUUUCCUACA
Molecule: long non-coding RNA, 2427 nt
Organism: Papaver somniferum (opium poppy)
Lineage: Eukaryota; Viridiplantae; Streptophyta; Magnoliopsida; Ranunculales; Papaveraceae
Exons: 3
Source: RefSeq, a predicted model, not a curated record